This 435-nucleotide ribosomal RNA is filed under the name uncultured bacterium. RNAcentral's name for it is "partial 16S ribosomal RNA". It matches the Rfam family "Bacterial small subunit ribosomal RNA", at positions 29 to 507 of the family's 1533-position model. The record is from RNAcentral.
AACGAACGCUGGCGGCAUGCCUAACACAUGCAAGUCGAACGAUUGCCUUCGGGUGAUAGUGGCGCACGGGUGCGUAACGCGUGGGAAUCUGCCCUUAGGUUCGGAAUAACAGCUGGAAACGGCUGCUAAUACCGGAUGAUAUCGCGAGAUCAAAGAUUUAUCGCCUGAGGAUGAGCCCGCGUUGGAUUAGGUAGUUGGUGGGGUAAAGGCCUACCAAGCCGACGAUCCAUAGCUGGUCUGAGAGGAUGAUCAGCCACACUGGGACUGAGACACGGCCCAGACUCCUACGGGAGGCAGCAGUGGGGAAUAUUGGACAAUGGGCGCAAGCCUGAUCCAGCAAUGCCGCGUGAGUGAUGAAGGCCCUAGGGUUGUAAAGCUCUUUUACCCGGGAAGAUAAUGACGGUACCGGGAGAAUAAGCCCCGGCUAACUCCGUG